RNAcentral lists this transfer RNA (72 nucleotides) under Pneumocystis canis. Its description in RNAcentral is "tRNA-Arg". It matches the Rfam family "tRNA". From Rfam's summary of the family: Transfer RNA (tRNA) molecules are approximately 80 nucleotides in length. Their secondary structure includes four short double-helical elements and three loops (D, anti-codon, and T loops). Further hydrogen bonds mediate the characteristic L-shaped molecular structure. tRNAs have two regions of fundamental functional importance: the anti-codon, which is responsible for specific mRNA codon recognition, and the 3' end, to which the tRNAs corresponding amino acid is attached (by aminoacyl-tRNA synthetases). tRNAs cope with the degeneracy of the genetic code in two manners: having more than one tRNA (with a specific anti-codon) for a particular amino acid; and 'wobble' base-pairing, i.e. permitting non-standard base-pairing at the 3rd anti-codon position. Lineage: Eukaryota; Fungi; Ascomycota; Pneumocystomycetes; Pneumocystales; Pneumocystaceae. The record is from RNAcentral.
ACACUUUUAGUUUAAUGGUUAGAACAAUAGUCUUCGAAACUAAGAAUAUGGGUUCGAAUCCUAUAAAGUGUC